Molecule: long non-coding RNA, 408 nt
Organism: Xiphophorus hellerii (green swordtail)
Lineage: Eukaryota; Metazoa; Chordata; Actinopteri; Cyprinodontiformes; Poeciliidae
Exons: 2
Source: RefSeq, a predicted model, not a curated record
ACUGCUCCGAGUGGCUACAACUGAAUACCAACCUGAUUUGCAGAGGAUUACUAGAAACAAGAGAUGCCAGAAAUCCCACUGAGAUUAUCACCCCAUCACCUCCAGCAAGGUCAGCGCGUGGUGUGGCUCUUGGACUUUCACAGUUAAAGAUUUCGGCUCUUUGUGUCUAACUUGUUCGCCACCCCUGAGUUAUAAUGUUGAUUUAAUGCUGUCAGUAAGGACACACACACACACACACACACACACACACACACACACUUCACAGGUUUCUCUUCAUUUUAUAUUCAUCCCACUAUGAGUCACUGCAGAAUAUAAAUCAUCAACAGUUCAACAAAACUCCACUGCUGAAGAAAAAGACUCAUCUGGUCUGUAAUUUCUACCUCUUUAAAUAAAGUUCAUGUUAUUUAA